Molecule: transfer RNA, 76 nt
Filed under: Methanobacteriaceae archaeon
Lineage: Archaea; Methanobacteriati; Methanobacteriota; Methanobacteria; Methanobacteriales; Methanobacteriaceae
Description: tRNA-Thr
Rfam family: tRNA
About the family: Transfer RNA (tRNA) molecules are approximately 80 nucleotides in length. Their secondary structure includes four short double-helical elements and three loops (D, anti-codon, and T loops).
Source: RNAcentral
GCCUGUGUAGCAUAGCCUGGUUUAAUGCGCGAGGUUUGUAACCUUGAGAUCGGGGAUUCAAAUUCCUCCUCAGGCU